AACGAACGCUGGCGGCAUGCCUAACACAUGCAAGUCGAACGAGACCUUCGGGUCUAGUGGCGCAAGGGUGCGUAACGCGUGGGAACCUGCCCUUAGGUUCGGAAUAACUCCCCGAAAGGGGUGCUAAUACCGGAUAAUGUCUUCGGACCAAAGAUUUAUCGCCUUUGGAUGGGCCCGCGUUGGAUUAGCUAGUUGGUAGGGUAAAAGCCUACCAAGGCGACGAUCCAUAGCUGCUCUGAGAGGAUGAUCAGCCACACUGGGACUGAGACACGGCCCAGACUCCUACGGGAGGCAGCAGUGGGGAAUAUUGGACAAUGGGCGAAAGCCUGAUCCAGCAAUGCCGCGUGAGUGAUGAAGGCCUUAGGGUUGUAAAGCUCUUUUACCCGGGAUGAUAAUGACAGUACCGGGAGAAUAAGCUCCGGCUAACUCCGUG
This 433-nucleotide ribosomal RNA is filed under the name uncultured bacterium. Its description in RNAcentral is "partial 16S ribosomal RNA". It matches the Rfam family "Bacterial small subunit ribosomal RNA", at positions 29 to 507 of the family's 1533-position model. The record is from RNAcentral.